UGAAAAGGGAGGUAGACCAGGAACCAGCUGCUGAUGCUUCAAAGCAUUAUUAAAAAUGUGUGGGUCCCCAUGAAACCUUACUAUAUCGAAGUUUACCAGGAGAUCUGGAUGGGAAUGGGGUUGAUGAGCUUCAUUGUUUAUAAAAUCAGGAGUGCUGAUAAAACAAGUAAAGCUUUGAAAGCUCCUGCACCUGCUCAUGGUCAUCACUAACCAGCCUCACUUGGAGUGUACAAGAGAUGGAUCAGUCUGCCCGUAGAGCUAAGCAAGCUGUGUCACAUGGGAACAUGGACUG
Otolemur garnettii (small-eared galago) is the source of this 292-nucleotide RNA transcript. It is a transcript of the gene named 6.8 kDa mitochondrial proteolipid pseudogene, with no coding region annotated. The transcript has a single exon. Lineage: Eukaryota; Metazoa; Chordata; Mammalia; Primates; Galagidae. The record is from RefSeq and is a predicted model, not a curated record.